This 423-nucleotide ribosomal RNA is filed under the name uncultured fungus. RNAcentral's name for it is "eukaryotic LSU rRNA". It matches the Rfam family "Eukaryotic large subunit ribosomal RNA", at positions 1 to 422 of the family's 3401-position model. The record is from RNAcentral. Lineage: Eukaryota; Fungi.
GACCUCGGAUCAGGUAGGGAUACCCGCUGAACUUAAGCAUAUCAAUAAGCGGAGGAAAAGAAACCAACAGGGAUUGCCCUAGUAACGGCGAGUGAAGCGGCAACAGCCCAAAUUUGAAAUCUGGCGUCUUUGGCGUCCGAGUUGUAAUUUGCAGAGGGCGCUUUGGCAUUGGCAGCGGUCCAAGUUCCUUGGAACAGGACGUCACAGAGGGUGAGAAUCCCGUACGUGGUCGCUAGCCUUUACCGUGUAAAGCCCCUUCGACGAGUCGAGUUGUUUGGGAAUGCAGCUCUAAAUGGGAGGUAAAUUUCUUCUAAAGCUAAAUACUGGCCAGAGACCGAUAGCGCACAAGUAGAGUGAUCGAAAGAUGAAAAGCACUUUGGAAAGAGAGUUAAAAAGCACGUGAAAUUGUUGAAAGGGAAGCGC